AUCUAACUGACGAGUCUCAAAUAGGACAAAAUGUAUGUCCUGGAU
This 45-nucleotide non-coding RNA is filed under the name Schistosoma bovis. Lineage: Eukaryota; Metazoa; Platyhelminthes; Trematoda; Strigeidida; Schistosomatidae. The record is from RNAcentral. RNAcentral also lists the same sequence under 2 other names.